Molecule: ribosomal RNA, 496 nt
Filed under: uncultured bacterium
Lineage: Bacteria
Description: partial 16S ribosomal RNA
Rfam family: Bacterial small subunit ribosomal RNA
Source: RNAcentral
AUGAACGCUGGCGGCGUGCCUAAUACAUGCAAGUCGCGCGAACGGACGAGAAGCUUGCUUUUCUGAUGUUAGCGGCGGACGGGUGAGUAACACGUGGAUAACCUACCUAUAAGACUGGGAUAACUUCGGGAAACCGGAGCUAAUACCGGAUAAUAUUUUGAACCGCAUGGUUCAAAAGUGAAAGACGGUCUUGCUGUCACUUAUAGAUGGAUCCGCGCUGCAUUAGCUAGUUGGUAAGGUAACGGCUUACCAACGCAACGAUGCAUAGCCGACCUGAGAGGGUGAUCGGCCACACUGGAACUGAGACACGGUCCAGACUCCUACGGGAGGCAGCAGUAGGGAAUCUUCCGCAAUGGGCGAAAGCCUGACGGAGCAACGCCGCGUGAGUGAUGAAGGUCUUCGGAUCGUAAAACUCUGUUAUUAGGGAAGAACAUAUGUGUAAGUAACUGUGCACAUCUUGACGGUACCUAAUCAGAAAGCCACGGCUAACUACGUG